GACGAACGCUGGCGGCGUGCCUAAUACAUGCAAGUCGAACGCUGAAGAGAGGAGCUUGCUCUUCUUGGAUGAGUUGCGAACGGGUGAGUAACGCGUAGGUAACCUGCCUGGUAGCGGGGGAUAACUAUUGGAAACGAUAGCUAAUACCGCAUAAAAUGGAUUAUCGCAUGAUAAUCCAUUGAAAGGUGCAAAUGCAUCACUACCAGAUGGACCUGCGUUGUAUUAGCUAGUUGGUGGGGUAACGGCUCACCAAGGCGACGAUACAUAGCCGACCUGAGAGGGUGAUCGGCCACACUGGGACUGAGACACGGCCCAGACUCCUACGGGAGGCAGCAGUAGGGAAUCGUCGGCAAUGGACGGAAGUCUGACCGAGCAACGCCGCGUGAGUGAAGAAGGUUGUCGGAUCGUAAAGCUCUGUUGUAAGAGAAGAACGAGUGUGAGAGUGGAAAGUUCACACUGUGACGGUAUCUUACCAGAAAGGGACGGCUAACUACGUG
This 497-nucleotide ribosomal RNA is filed under the name uncultured bacterium. RNAcentral describes it as "partial 16S ribosomal RNA". It matches the Rfam family "Bacterial small subunit ribosomal RNA", at positions 28 to 507 of the family's 1533-position model. The record is from RNAcentral.